This is a long non-coding RNA of Passer domesticus (house sparrow), 3194 nucleotides long. RefSeq lists it as uncharacterized. NCBI's taxonomy places the organism in Eukaryota, Metazoa, Chordata, Aves, Passeriformes, Passeridae. The record is from RefSeq and is a predicted model, not a curated record. The transcript has 3 exons.
ACACAGGCCAGCAGAAAAGCAGCAGAAUGCUGAGAUCCCAGUGAUGGUGCUUCAUUUGGAUACAGUGAAUUCAGUCACCUCUGUCCUCCAAUGCUCUUUUUAGUAAACAUUGUCUGUUGGCAUUCAGAAUGAACUCCUCCAAAGAUUCUGAAACAGCAACGCUUUUGUCCCACACUUGAAACUACAGUCUCGAGUCUGAAGAAUACCAGUGCCUUGUUUGUCCUAGAAAGACUGUUUGUGCCUGCUUUUGCUGAUUGAAAAUAUCCAAUCUGAAAUUAAUUUCAGAGAGUGUUAAAACUUCUGAAGGAUAAAAAAACUGGUCCAGGGGCUCCAUUUACAUUCACUGAAGCUUGAGUCUUUUCGGUGGCACAGAAAGCAGAACUGCCUGCAACACCUUGCCAGGAGAAAAAGCACAGAUGAAAGGAGGAAUCACAGAACUAAGGAUUUUACAUUUCCAUUGCACUUUGAUGUUCAGCUCUUGCUGCCCUCCCUCCCUGAAGCAAGGUAACACCGCUGUGUGUGAAUACACCCUCUAAGUGCUUGAAUCUGCCUCCAGGCGUUCUCCUCCCAGUCUUCCUCGGUACAUUUGAAAGAUCAUCUGCCUUCCCAGCAUCUGUUCAUGAGUGAUGACGAUCAGUGCUAAAGGGAGAGCAAGGGCAUCCCAAUGGCAAUUCUAUCAACUGGAAAUCCUACAUGAGGCUUUCAAAACGGGCCAGCAAGAGGAAAUUAAUAAUGGGUUAGAAUAUAAUGAUCAAACAGAUCAAAGAAGUGCGAGAAAGCAACUCAGACAUCUUUUUAGAGGCAGAAAACCCUGCAGGAAAGGAAGUAUGAAGGCACAGAUACCUCAGCACAGCAUCUUGGCACUGCACUGUUACACGUUCCCUUGAGAUAGCACAGCUUAAAUAGUAUCACUAUGGCGAGAAAAAAGUAUUCCAGCAGGGAUAUUUGCUGAAUAAUACUGCAGUGUUUCCAUCCCCGACAUAUUAAAAACCCAGCAAAAGAUAAAUAAUAAGUCCUUAAACAAGAUUUUUAUUAAAUUAGAUAGCUUUUAUUCUUUGGAUUGUUCAGAUUUUAGUCUGCAUCUGGAUCAUGCUUCCCAGUUUUUUGUCUUAAUGAGGCACUAAAAAAAAAUUCAAUAUGAUUUUUUUUUGUGCUACAAGAAUAUCCUCAGGAGUAGAACUGUAAUUAAAAUAUCAAAGAUAAGGAGGUUUGCAAAUAAAGCCAGGUUUGAUAACAGAGAGGUGUGGCACUCCUCUGAAAUGUGUUGCCAGGCUUCAGCCAUCUGUCCUGGCUGUCACCGAAGGUUUUUGUCCUUGUAACACAAUGGGGCUAGUUGUUGUUGAAAAAAGACAUGUAGGCAGCUUGAAUAAUUAAUUUUUUCAAAACAGAAGCCACAUGAGGUUCAGUAAUGAGAAGAGGAAGAACACAGAGGAGAAGAAGUUUUGAACAGUGUGGCUACGGACACCUUUGUUUACAUCCCACGAGGAGCUAACCUCAAGGUGUGGAAUUUUCUUCUCCUUGGCAGAAAAGUCCUCCUGAGACUGUAAUCAGGGAGAAUAUUAUCUGAGAAGCUUUGUGGAACUGUUUGUCCUUCAAGGAGCAUUUGUGGGCAAUUACUGGGAAAAGUGUUAAACUGCUACCAGUGCUCUACUGACGUGGAAGGAGCCUGCUUGGAUGCUCUGCAGCUCCCAGGUCAGUUUAAUGGAAGAAAAACGAGGUCUAAAGAAUUUACGAGAAAAACUGAGGCACAGUGGAGAGAUAAUGAUGUUCCUUGACUACAUGCAUCACCCCAUGCUGUCAGCCAGACUGUGCUGAGAGGGACACCGAGGGAGUGCUUGGGGACAGCAGUGACAGACGGAGUCCCAAUUAUAUAAAUUUCUCGUCUUGGUGGAGUACCUGAGCAGGAACCCCUACUGCCUGCCUGAGAACAACUGCUAUUGCCCUACAGUAAUGUUAGUGCAUUUAAGCCAGUCACUGUGUUGUUGACAGAUAAUUCUGUUUUUCAAUUAAAAAAGCCAAUAUACAUAUAUAUGUUUGUAUAUAUAUAUAUAUAUGUAUGUCAUCCUUGCAUAUAGAAGAGUUCUAAGUUAUCUAGAACAUCCACAUCACUAAUGAGAGAGUUUUAUGGAGAAAGGAAGCUACUUUAUGUUACUACAUGUGUCUUGGCUCACUGGGAAAAUGCUACAAGAUUUAUGUGCUUACAAUUAUCAUUAGAUCCUAAUUUUUGGCAGGUUUAACUAGUACCUUCUCUUCCCAUUUAUUUUUAAGUGAGUUCUGAGUUCGUGAAUGUGCCAGUUUGAUAGCCCCAAAGACAGAGAGCGUCUGUUUGCCUAUAAAGGCAAUAUAUUUACAACAUUCACUUCCACAAACUGCUCCCGAAAGAGCGCUUCAGUGGCACACUCGAGGGGCUAACAAGAGGAUCAGUAAUGUAAAACCCCCGUCAUCUUGCCAAGAUUACUAAUGAGGCUGCAAUUUGCCAGUGAGAGGUUGCAACUGUAAUGGGUUUUGCAGUCUAUUCCUUUUACUAGGAGGGCAUUGGAACAACUCCUGCAGGCUUCUGAGUCACUUCCAGUCUUCCAAGUGUUCCCACAAAUUGUGUAACUUUCUUAGUGGUGUCCUCAAAUCGUUGUGUCACAACUCCAGAACUAAAUCCCUACUUAGAAAACUGCACGAAACCUUUUGAAAAUCAGACAGAUUAUUAACAUUCUGACAAUUUUGAAGACGGGACAACAAUUUUAAGAAACUCCGUUGUAUCCCCAAGACAUCCCUAGUUUUCUAAUAAUCAUUCAUCAGAAUUGUUUCAUUUAUUGUGUUAUUCAGAACCCCUGGGCAGAUCAGUGUUGGAAAACUGACAAGUAAAGGAUGACGCUUGUUCAGUAACUUGUAGUAAACCUAGUACAACUUCUGUUCAAAGUCCAAGAAAAGAGAAGUGAGAGCUGCAAGUGAUGCUGCUGCAGACUUUUGGAAGCUGCUCUGUCACAAGAUAAACAACAGAGCUGGCGCUGGCUCCUCCCGAUUGGAACAGGAGCACAUCCUGGAUCUGGAUGUCCCAGACUAGGCCCCUUGUGGCCUGGUGUUCCCAGAAUCAGCCUAGAGGAGCCCUGAAUAGGAGCCCCGGGCGAUGAAUGCAGUUUUGCUGGCGAUGAGCUCGGUGUGCUCCCCCAGCGCGAUUCCUGCAGUGCCCCAGGCGGCUC